Molecule: long non-coding RNA, 769 nt
Filed under: Marmota monax (woodchuck)
Lineage: Eukaryota; Metazoa; Chordata; Mammalia; Rodentia; Sciuridae
Source: RNAcentral
AGCCUGAGACCAUAGUCACUUAAGGACUCCUAGGAGAAUGGGUGUCGCUCAUUUUGUACCCAUGUCUCAUUCAUUCAAGAUUAAAAAUCAGAAAUUUCUCCAAAGGAAAGUCAAAGGGAUGUUGUGGGAGCUGGAGGAAAGAACACCAGGCACGAGGGACAAAAGGUGAUUGUUCCAGUAAUGGUAACAGCUGAACUUCACCCAGUGCUCUCUGCGUCAUGUGUUGUACAACUGAUUCAUGUUCUCACAAUGAAUUUCUGAUUUGAGUCUCCUAAUUGGUUUGAUAGUGCUUCCAAAGCAAAUGACCACAAACUGAGUAUCUUAAAACAACAAAAAUUUCUUUUCUCACAUUUCCAGGGACCAAAAGCCAGAAAUUAGCGUUGCAGCAGGGUGGUCUUCCCAGAAGGGCUGGAGGCUCUAGUGGGGAAUAUUCGUUGCCUUUUCCAGCUUCCAGUGACGGUUGGCAUUCUACAGCUUCUUUUUUUCCCCAUGUUUUCAUUAGUGCAUUAUAAUUAUACAUAAUGGUAGGAUUCAUUGUUACAAAUUCAUACAUGAACAUGAGAUAAUAAUUUAAUUUGGCCAAUAUUCCAUGACUUUUUUGGUUUGUGCCUCUGUCUUCACAUCAUCUUCCCUCUUCUAUGUCUCCCCUUCUGCUUCUUGUAAGGACAUUUGUCAUUGGAUUUACAUCCCAUCUGCAUAAUCUAAGAUGAUCCUAUCUCAAGAUUGUUAAAUUAAUUACACCUGCAAAAAAAAAAAAAAAAAAAAAAAA